GAGUGACUGUUGACACACUACUGCAGUGAAACACAAACUGCUGGGCAAGCCCAGGAAGAGAUAAAGUGCCAGAUGACUUUAUGACUCCCUCUCUUCCUCCCCCCUCUCUCCUCCCCUCCGAAAGAAACUGCUCCCCACGCCUGAAGUCCAGAUUUAGAAGGCAAACCACGG
Long non-coding RNA from Eleginops maclovinus (Patagonian blennie), 171 nucleotides. RefSeq lists it as uncharacterized. The transcript has 3 exons. NCBI's taxonomy places the organism in Eukaryota, Metazoa, Chordata, Actinopteri, Perciformes, Eleginopidae. The record is from RefSeq and is a predicted model, not a curated record.